GAGAAGAAACGGCGGAGACCUGAGACCCGGAGGCUGAGGCUGUAGGUGGGCUCCGCUGGGUAAAAGUUGCCGCAGCAGCUGUCCCUUGGCCCCAUCGCGAUUUAUUUUUCCCCCUUGCUUUCCGGGUCCCGGGAUCCCAAGUUUGUAACUAACGGGAGCGAAUCCACACCCGAGCAAAAUGUUUGCGAGUUUCAGGCGCCCUUAGUUGAAAGGCUGUAAUUAACAAGUCCGCUGUUUGCCAGCCAGGCGCCGUUGCAGGCGCUUUCUGUGGAUUGUCAUUUAUUUCUCACAGCAACCCUAGGAGAUGAAAUUGAAUCAUGGAAGAAUGCCUUUAUCUGAGGAGUCAUCACCACUAGGGAGCUAUGGAGGCUGUUAUCCUUGACAUCUGCAGCAGCCCUUCCAAGCUGUGGAGACCAGGUCAUCUGGAAUGCCCAUUUAUGUCAAUGGAAGAAAGAAAAAGGGGUCUCCUCCCAUCCUCACCACUGCAUUCUCCCACCAACCCUGCUCCUGUCCCACUUCCCACAACUCAGUUGUUGACAAUUUAACAGUGGGUUUCUGGAAACAGUGCUGCCUCCUUGAUGGUCUAACUAACUACCAGAGUUAUUCUAACAGCAGGAAUUUCAAGCCAGCAAACCAGACAUACAUAGGAGGCACAGCAAAAGACCCAAGGUGAGGGGCUUCCCUCACCUUCACCCUUGUUCUCACGUGGAGGUGGCGCAUGUCUAUGAGACACAGUACCCCACUCAGCGAUCCUCUGCAGUCCAGGAAAUUCUAGCACUUGCUUGGAAAACAAAUCAAGUGAAGCCUGUUGGCUUUUUGUGAGCUGCCUAUGGAGAAAUGCACAUGGCAAGGAACUGAGGGUUGCCUCCAGCAAACUGCUGGUGAGGGAGUGAGGCCUUCAGUCCAACAGCCUUUAAGGAACUGAAUCCUGCCAACAACCAUGUGAGUGGGCUUGGAGAUGGAUGCUACCACCAUCAAGCCUUCAGGAGUGAAUUUUUUUGUUCUUGAGACAGCGUCUCAUUCUGUUGCCCAGGAUGGAGUACAGUGGUGCCAUCUUCGCUCACUGCAGCCUUCGUCUCCCGGGUUCAAGCAAUUCUCCUGUCUCAGCCUCCCAAGUAGCUGGGAUUACAGACCCAUCAAGCCUUCAGAUAAGACUGCAGCCUCAUUACAGACCUUGAACUGGAGGCAGCCAGCUGAGUCACACCUGGAUUCCUGACCCUUAGAAACUAUGAGAUAAUAAAUGUUUACAGUUUUAAGCCACUAAGUUUCG
Molecule: long non-coding RNA, 1270 nt
Filed under: Homo sapiens (human)
Lineage: Eukaryota; Metazoa; Chordata; Mammalia; Primates; Hominidae
Description: non-protein coding lnc-CPVL-4:10
Source: RNAcentral